CAAGUCAUAUAAGAAUUGCAGAAUUUUUGGAACAAUAAAAAUAAGAUUAACACAGCCCCUGUGUAAGGAUGACACGUAAAUUUAUGAAGUGUUUCAUAUUUUC
Molecule: small nuclear RNA, 103 nt
Organism: Ictidomys tridecemlineatus (thirteen-lined ground squirrel)
Lineage: Eukaryota; Metazoa; Chordata; Mammalia; Rodentia; Sciuridae
Source: Ensembl